UGGGGAAUAUUGGAUAAUGGGGGCAACCCUGAUCCAGCCAUGCCGCGUGCGUGAAGAAGGCCCUAGGGUUGUAAAGCGCUUUCAGCGGGGAAGAUGAUGACGGUACCCGCAGAAGAAGCCCCGGCUAACUCCGUGCCAGCAGCCGCGGUAAUACGGAGGAUGCAAGCGUUAUCCGGAAUUAUUGGGCGUAAAGCGUCCGCAGGUGGCUCUUCAAGUCUGCUGUUAAAGACAGAAGCUUAACUUCUGAGAGGCGGUGGAAACUGGGGAGCUUGAGUACGGUAGGGGUUGAGGGAAUUCCCAGUGUAGCGGUGAAAUGCGUAGAGAUUGGGAAGAACACCAGUGGCGAAGGCGCUCAACUGGACCGUAACUGACACUCAGGGACGAAAGCUAGGGGAGCGAAAGGGAUUAGAUACCCCCGUAGUCC
This 424-nucleotide ribosomal RNA is filed under the name uncultured prokaryote. RNAcentral's name for it is "bacterial SSU rRNA". It matches the Rfam family "Bacterial small subunit ribosomal RNA", at positions 355 to 796 of the family's 1533-position model. The record is from RNAcentral.